Molecule: ribosomal RNA, 253 nt
Filed under: uncultured bacterium
Lineage: Bacteria
Description: partial 16S ribosomal RNA
Rfam family: Bacterial small subunit ribosomal RNA
Source: RNAcentral
UACGAGUGCCUCAAGCGUUAUCCGGAAUCAUUGGGCGUAAAGGAUGUGUAGGUGGUCAUAUUAGUCUCUUGUUAAAUUUCUCGGCUUAACCGGGAACAUGCAGGGGAAACGGUAUGACUUGAGGAUGCGAGGGGUCUACGGAACUCAUAGUGUAGCGGUGAAAUGCGUUGAUAUUAUGGGGAACACCAAAAGCGAAGGCAGUAGACUGGAGCACUCCUGACACUGAAACAUGAAAGCGUGGGUAGCGAAUGGG